UGGGGAAUAUUGGACAAUGGGCCACGAGCCUGAUCCAGCAAUUCUGUGUGGACGAUGAAGGUUUUCGGAUUGUAAAGUCCUUUCAGUAGGGAAGAAAAAAAUGACGGUACCUACAGAAGAAGCACCGGCUAAUUAUGUGCCAGCAGCCGCGGUAAGACAUAAGGUGCGAGCGUUAUCCGGAAUCACUGGGCGUAAAGGGCAUCUAGGCGGUUUAUUAAGUCAGGGGUGAAAAGCCGAAGCUCAACUUUGGUCUUGCCUUUGAAACUGAUAGACUAGAAUACGGGAUAGGAGGGCGGAACUACAAGUGUAGAGGUGAAAUUCGUAGAUAUUUGUAGGAAUGCCGAUGACGAAGGUAGCUCUCUGGACCGAUAUUGACGCUGAAGUGCGAAAGCUAGGGUAG
RNAcentral lists this ribosomal RNA (400 nucleotides) under uncultured bacterium. RNAcentral describes it as "bacterial SSU rRNA". It matches the Rfam family "Bacterial small subunit ribosomal RNA", at positions 355 to 768 of the family's 1533-position model. The record is from RNAcentral.